AUCCAAUGGCAUUGUACAACAUUGGACCACUGAUAAUAAUAAUGUUAAAAACAUGCCUGGCCAAGUCACUCUAGAAUUAUAAGUUAUCCUAAAUGAUAUACACACCUUAGAGAAAAAAAUAAAAUUACUAAAUUAAAAAAAAACAUAUUUGUGUAAAAUAUGAUAAUCCAAACUUUGUCGUUUUUUUUUUCUUUCAAUAACAGAUUAAGAUAAUAGGAAAAUUUUUAUGAAAAAGUAAAUCCUCCAAAAAAAAAAAAAAAAAAA
Non-coding RNA from Biomphalaria pfeifferi, 264 nucleotides. The record is from the annotation of a GenBank genome assembly. NCBI's taxonomy places the organism in Eukaryota, Metazoa, Mollusca, Gastropoda, Planorbidae.